RNAcentral lists this small RNA (81 nucleotides) under Flavobacterium sp. 123. RNAcentral describes it as "Flavo-1 RNA". It matches the Rfam family "Flavo-1 RNA". Lineage: Bacteria; Pseudomonadati; Bacteroidota; Flavobacteriia; Flavobacteriales; Flavobacteriaceae. The record is from Rfam by way of RNAcentral.
CCCUAGCCCUGAUAGAAGUGAAAAUCCUUUUUUGUUUUUUCUUUAAAAACAAAAAGAUUGAAACGGAUAGCAGGAAACAGC